AGUGUAAUACUUUAAUAAAAAGGUUAAGUUUGCAUCUUAAAAUUGAAUUUUGUGUUCUUACACUA
This 65-nucleotide transfer RNA is filed under the name Callista chinensis. Its description in RNAcentral is "tRNA-Ala". Lineage: Eukaryota; Metazoa; Mollusca; Bivalvia; Venerida; Veneridae. The record is from RNAcentral.